RNAcentral lists this small nuclear RNA (18 nucleotides) under Arabidopsis thaliana (thale cress). RNAcentral describes it as "snRNA_10117". Lineage: Eukaryota; Viridiplantae; Streptophyta; Magnoliopsida; Brassicales; Brassicaceae. The record is from RNAcentral.
GCCGGCCGGGGGACGGAC